CCUACGGGAGGCAGCAGUGGGGAAUCUUGCGCAAUGGGCGAAAGCCUGACGCAGCCAUGCCGCGUGAAUGAUGAAGGUCUUAGGAUUGUAAAAUUCUUUCACCGGGGACGAUAAUGACGGUACCCGGAGAAGAAGCCCCGGCUAACUUCGUGCCAGCAGCCGCGGUAAUACGAAGGGGGCUAGCGUUGCUCGGAAUUACUGGGCGUAAAGGGAGCGUAGGCGGAUAGUUUAGUCAGAGGUGAAAGCCCAGGGCUCAACCUUGGAAUUGCCUUUGAUACUGGCUAUCUUGAGUUUGGGAGAGGUGAGUGGAACUCCGAGUGUAGAGGUGAAAUUCGUAGAUAUUCGGAAGAACACCAGUGGCGAAGGCGACUCACUGGCCCAAUACUGACGCUGAGGCUCGAAAGCGUGGGGAGCAAACAGGAUUAGAUACCCUGGUAGUCCACGCCGUAAACGAUGAGUGCUAGUUGUCGGCAUGCAUGCAUGUCGGUGACGCAGCUACGACAUAAGACACUCCGCCGUCGGGAGGUACGGUCGCGAAGAAUUAAACUAACGAAAGGAAGUUAGACGGCGUGAGACGUGCCGACGGACGACGACGAGGGAGUAGG
This 605-nucleotide ribosomal RNA is filed under the name uncultured bacterium. Its description in RNAcentral is "bacterial SSU rRNA". The stretch from base 1 to 517 matches the Rfam family "Bacterial small subunit ribosomal RNA", at positions 338 to 873 of the family's 1533-position model. The record is from RNAcentral.